This 378-nucleotide ribosomal RNA is filed under the name Pseudomonas sp. BFP10. RNAcentral describes it as "partial 16S ribosomal RNA". It matches the Rfam family "Bacterial small subunit ribosomal RNA", at positions 114 to 488 of the family's 1533-position model. Lineage: Bacteria; Pseudomonadati; Pseudomonadota; Gammaproteobacteria; Pseudomonadales; Pseudomonadaceae. The record is from RNAcentral.
AGCCUAGGAAUCUGCCUGGUAGUGGGGGAUAACGUCCGGAAACGGGCGCUAAUACCGCAUACGUCCUGAGGGAGAAAGUGGGGGAUCUUCGGACCUCACGCUAUCAGAUGAGCCUAGGUCGGAUUAGCUAGUUGGUGGGGUAAAGGCCUACCAAGGCGACGAUCCGUAACUGGUCUGAGAGGAUGAUCAGUCACACUGGAACUGAGACACGGUCCAGACUCCUACGGGAGGCAGCAGUGGGGAAUAUUGGACAAUGGGCGAAAGCCUGAUCCAGCCAUGCCGCGUGUGUGAAGAAGGUCUUCGGAUUGUAAAGCACUUUAAGUUGGGAGGAAGGGCAGUAAGUUAAUACCUUUUUUUUUUGACGUUACCAACAGAAUA